AGAGUUUGAUCAUGGCUCAGGACGAACGCUGGCGGCGUGCUUAACACAUGCAAGUCGAGCGGAAAGGCCCUUCGGGGUACUCGAGCGGCGAACGGGUGAGUAACACGUGAGUAAUCUGCCCCUAGCUCUGGGAUAGCUCCGGGAAACCGGGAUUAAUACCGGAUACGACCACCUUAGACAUCUUUUGUGGUGGAAAGAAUUUCGGCUAGGGAUGAGCUCGCGGCCUAUCAGCUUGUUGGUGGGGUAACGGCCUACCAAGGCGACGACGGGUAGCCGGCCUGAGAGGGCGACCGGCCACACUGGGACUGAGACACGGCCCAGACUCCUACGGGAGGCAGCAGUGGGGAAUAUUGCGCAAUGGGCGAAAGCCUGACGCAGCGACGCCGCGUGGGGGAUGAAGGCCUUCGGGUUGUAAACCCCUUUCAGCAGGGACGAAGCGAAAGUGACGGUACCUGCAGAAGAAGCGCCGGCUAACUACGUGCCAGCAGCCGCGGUAACACGUAGGGCGCAAGCGUUGUCCGGAAUUAUUGGGCGUAAAGAGCUCGUAGGCGGUCUGUUGCGUCCGCUGUGAGAACUCGGGGCUUAACCCCGAGCCUGCAGUGGAUACGGGCAGACUAGAGGUAGGUAGGGGAGAAUGGAAUUCCCGGUGUAGCGGUGAAAUGCGCAGAUAUCGGGAGGAACACCGGUGGCGAAGGCGGUUCUCUGGGCCUUACCUGACGCUGAGGAGCGAAAGCGUGGGGAGCGAACAGGAUUAGAUACCCCCGUAGUCC
Molecule: ribosomal RNA, 770 nt
Filed under: uncultured bacterium
Lineage: Bacteria
Description: bacterial SSU rRNA
Rfam family: Bacterial small subunit ribosomal RNA
Source: RNAcentral